Molecule: unclassified non-coding RNA, 374 nt
Filed under: soil metagenome
Description: partial contains internal transcribed spacer 2 and large subunit ribosomal RNA
Rfam family: 5.8S ribosomal RNA (bases 1-120)
Source: RNAcentral
GAUGAAGAACGUAGCGAAAUGCGAUAAUUAAUGUGAAUUGCAGAAUUCCGUGAAUCAUCGAGUCUUUGAACGCACAUUGCGCCUCAUGGCAUUCCGUGAGGCAUGCCCAUCUCAGCGUUAGAAAAUAUUCUCAAAUUUUAGUUUUGUGCUAAAAUUUUGAUCAUGUCAAGGAAGCUAUUACUAUUAUUGUGAUCGCUCUUUGGAAAUUGAUAGGUCUUUGAGUUGCUACUCAUAGAACGUGAUGAAUCUUUCUUCGUUCUAUUGUAAUUCACUCUGGUAGUCCUAAAACUUGUAUGCCUGUGGCAUAUCUUGUAAUUUGACCUGAGAUUGGGUAGGGAUACCCGCUGAACUUAAGCAUAUCAAUAAGCGGAGGA